AUGAGCUGGCGGCAUGCCUAACACAUGCAAGUCGAACGAAGGCUUCGGCCUUAGUGGCGCACGGGUGCGUAACGCGUGGGAAUCUGCCCUUGGGUUCGGAAUAACAGUUAGAAAUGACUGCUAAUACCGGAUGAUGUCGUAAGACCAAAGAUUUAUCGCCCAAGGAUGAGCCCGCGUAGGAUUAGCUAGUUGGUGGGGUAAAGGCCUACCAAGGCGACGAUCCUUAGCUGGUCUGAGAGGAUGAUCAGCCACACUGGGACUGAGACACGGCCCAGACUCCUACGGGAGGCAGCAGUGGGGAAUAUUGGACAAUGGGCGAAAGCCUGAUCCAGCAAUGCCGCGUGAGUGAUGAAGGCCUUAGGGUUGUAAAGCUCUUUUACCCGGGAUGAUAAUGACAGUACCGGGAGAAUAAGCGCCGGCUAACUUCGUG
RNAcentral lists this ribosomal RNA (430 nucleotides) under uncultured bacterium. Its description in RNAcentral is "partial 16S ribosomal RNA". It matches the Rfam family "Bacterial small subunit ribosomal RNA", at positions 35 to 507 of the family's 1533-position model. The record is from RNAcentral.